AUUGAACGCUGGCGGCAGGCCUAACACAUGCAAGUCGAACGGUAACAGGAAACAGCUUGCUGUUUCGCUGACGAGUGGCGGACGGGUGAGUAAUGUCUGGGAAACUGCCUGAUGGAGGGGGAUAACUACUGGAAACGGUAGCUAAUACCGCAUAACGUCGCAAGACCAAAGAGGGGGACCUUCGGGCCUCUUGCCAUCGGAUGUGCCCAGAUGGGAUUGGCUAGUAGGUGGGGUAACGGCUCACCUAGGCGACGAUCCCUAGCUGGUCUGAGAGGAUGACCAGCCACACUGGAACUGAGACACGGUCCAGACUCCUACGGGAGGCAGCAGUGGGGAAUAUUGCACAAUGGACGCAAGCCUGGUGCAGCCAUGCCGCGUGUAUGAAGAAGGCCUUCGGGCUGUAAAGUACUUUCAGCGGGGAGGAAGGGAGUAAAGUUAAUACCUUUGCUCAUUGACGUUACCCGCAGAAGAAGCACCGGCUAACUCCGUGCCAGCCGCCGCCGUAA
This 506-nucleotide ribosomal RNA is filed under the name uncultured bacterium. RNAcentral describes it as "partial 16S ribosomal RNA". It matches the Rfam family "Bacterial small subunit ribosomal RNA", at positions 30 to 523 of the family's 1533-position model. The record is from RNAcentral.